Molecule: long non-coding RNA, 1446 nt
Organism: Polistes canadensis
Lineage: Eukaryota; Metazoa; Arthropoda; Insecta; Hymenoptera; Vespidae
Exons: 2
Source: RefSeq, a predicted model, not a curated record
CGAGUUGUGUAAGAUUAAAAAAACCGAUAUCAUGUCGUACACUGGCGCCAUAGGUUUGAAAAGUUGGAAGCAAUAUGGCGACGUGCGUAUACAAGACGGCGCGACCAAUAGGAGUAGAGAGAGAGAAAGAAUACGGUGCCUGGGAGAAGACGCGCGCCGUUUUCUCGAUUAGGUCACGACACUCCCUCUAUAAUGAUGCGAACGAUGCGUGCGAAGAUAUCGAAAUUCACACGGAAAAAAUAUUUUGAAGAAGAUGAUCAAUGACAUUUGACAAUGGAAGUAGAAGACAUCGCGAUUUAAGAAUAAAUAAAAAGAAAGGAAAAGGGUUAGUAAAUAAAAAGGUAAGUUUUUGCAGGGUAAAUAAAAAAAAGUAUCUAAACAAGAAUAUCAUAUGGAAGAAUAAGCGUAAGAAAGUAGUAAUGCGUAGAGACACGAACAGAGGGCAGGUGUAUCGCUUUAUGGGGAUCGGUUGAUCGUAUACGGCGAGGAGGAGAAAGAGAGAGAGAGAGAAAGUAGACUAAAGAGGAAGAGUGGGAGGAAAGAGAGAUAGAGAGAGAGAGAGAGAGAGAGUCAUGAAGCGAAUGAGCAUGGUUAGAAAGAGAGCGAAAGAGAGGGAUAGAAUAUAACCUAUAUCCGUAGUGUGUCUCGGCCGGUGCGUUGUCGUCGUUACGUUCUCCGUGCCUCCUCCCCCGACGGGUGGCGGUCGGGUAGAGAGAUCGCUGCUGCCCUUAACGUCGGAUUUUAAUCUCGUUAAAGACAGUGGGUAUAAUGUGUGGAAACACGUGUUCUAUCACAGUGAGAAAAGAUUAGAAAAGAACUAAGAAGUAGUAGAAGAAGAAGAAGAAGAAGAAGGAGGAGUGAAUUGAGAAAAGGUGGUGACGAUAGAAAGAAGAAGAAGAAGAAGGGAGUUGAGUGCGUGAAUGCGUUGAUGCGUCGCUGCCGUCGUCGUCGUCGUCGUCGGGAGGAGCAACGAUCGUCGUCGUCUUCGUCGUCGUCGUCGACGUUGCUGUUGUGUUGUCUUCGUCCUCUUCGUUUUUCUUCUUCCACGUUGAGUGAUAGAUAGAAUAGUUUAGGUUACCGUCAAGCGGGGGAGAGUAUCCUCCUCGUUAGUGUUCGCGCUGAACGAGGAGAGGGAUUAAAAAGAAGAAAAAGAAAAAAAAGAAGAGGGAGAGAGAGAUAAAAGAAGAAGAAGGAGAAGAAAAAGAGGAAGCAAAAGCGGUGCUGAAGAAGUGCCGCCGUGGUGUCCGUGCUGGUGGUGGUGGUCGUGGUGGCGGUGGUGGACGUGGUGCGACGAGUGUUGUUGGUGCCGGUGGUGCAAGAAGAAGAAGAAGAAAAAGAAAGAAAAGAAGAAGAAGAAGAGGAAAAGCGUUAUAAAAAGGGAGAAAAGGUGCUGAAAGUGGUGGUUGUUGUGUUGUUCGAGGAGCUCGUGGUGCAAAAAAAAAAAAG